UAGCCUCAAGGUAAAACCCAAUGUGCAAACUAAUUUAACACCUUAUCUUGGAAACAUAGUGAAUGGAUAAUAAGAAUACGGGUUGCACCUCAGUUUGUUUGUUUAAUGUCCUUUGACAAGAAAUAUAAGGAGUUAAGGGCUUUGCUCAAGAGCACAAAAAAGAUCUACAGGCACUAGAUUAUCUGUUUAAGGACAACAUAGGAUGGAAAUGGUGUGGCCGCUCUUCAUGAUGUAUAUAAAUUAAAGGAUAUUUAAUAUCUUCUUUUGCUCUUGUCGAGCAUCAGACAUUUCAAACGGACAAGCAACGAACAAACACUGACCCUGAUGUUAACCACUGCACUGCAUAACUGGAACUGGUUGAGAUGGUUUUGGGACCUCCUUGGCCUCAUUGUUUUUUUGUUGAACAUUAUUCUAGGAGAGAUUGUGGGAAUAUUGGAUACUUAGAAAAGCACCUAAAAUAUGUGAUCGUAGUCUCUUUUCUAAUGUUUCAGAUUAGACUUUUUCAACUCAUUUAACUUACCUCCAACACUCGAACUUGCAAUGACUGCCUCGUGGGUUGCACCUCCUACCAAUCUUCACUUGGAUCCUUUUUUGCCACCUUCCCAUAAAUAGUACCUAUACGGUAAUACUCAUCUACCUCUUGUUACCUUCAACUCUCCUCCAAGGAUAAUUAAUUUCAGUGCUGCUCAAGCUCUUUGGUAACGCCAGCCACCUCCUGAGGUAUAGCUGCUGACCCUCCUGCUCUCUGAGAUCUCAAAAGUUUGGAUGUUAAGAAUGUUAGCAUUCAAACAAACUGCCCAACGUCAUAAACUAUUUAUCAGCUAAACAUCAACAUGUUAGAAUGGUUAUUGUUAGCAUGCAGCGAAAUCCUGCUAUUAUGAACAGAUGGCCAAUGUAUUUAUUGUGGUAUUGUCGUAUUUAAGGGUCUACCCUCUUGGCCUGCCAUUAUUUCCAUAUGACAGUGACAAAAAUAAGCAACAUACUGCGAAUCUCAUUUAAGGUGCCUAGAGGAAGCCAGUUCUUAAAGAAAAUCUCACUCGGAACACAGCAUCUCAAAGCAGCUGGUUAUUUGCAAUAUCCAGCUGUAGGCUCAGUGUUGCCUCUUUUCUGUGGUGUCAAACCAGACUGACCUCAGGCCAGCAGGCUAUCACAAUAGAGAGGGAGCUCAAUCUGUUCCAGGUGUUCAACAGAAGAGGUACACUACAAGGUGUUUCACUAAACCCCCCAAAGAGAAAAAACGUUCUCAUUUUAGCCAGAAAAUUGUAAUCCUAUAUGGGGAUAUGUGAAAGCUGGCAGUUCCAUUCACAGCGCUUCACUUUUUCCACAUUUUGUUAAGUUACAGCCUUAUUCCAUAAUGGAUUAAAUUCAUUUUAUCCCUCAAAACUCCACACACAACACACCAUAAGAACAAAGUGAAAUAUUUUUGAAAAUUUCUUCCUUCCCAUCCUGCUUCCACUGAUCAUCUUUGUUCAGCUGAUUGGACAUGAAUUAGAAAAGCACCUGUCUGUAGCAGGUUCCACAGUUGACCGUGCAUGUCAGAGCACAAACCAAGCCAUGAAGUCCAGGGAAUUGUCUGUAGGCCUGAGACAUACUUGUAUAGAAGCACAGAUCUGCCGAUGGGUAAAGAGGAAUUUCUGCAGCAUUGAAGUUCCCAAUGAGCACAGUGGUCUCCAUCAUCCGAAAAUUGAAGAAGUUUGGAAACACCAGAACCCGCCCAGCCAAACUAAGCGAUUGAGAGAGAAGGGCUUUUGUCAGGGAACGCUGAUGCUCUGUCAGAGUGACCCGAUGACUUUGCUCUGGGAUAACUCUGUGAAUGUCCUUGAGUAGCCCGCCCAUAGCCCCGACUUGAACCUGCUUCUGGAGAGAUAUGAAAAUGCCUGUGCACCUACACUCCCCAUCCAACCUGAUGGAACCUCAGAGGUUCUGCAAAGAAGGAUUGCUUCCAAUUACAGCCUCAGAUAUUAAAGUGCUUCAACCAAGGAUUCAGGUGCAUCCCAAAAGCAUUUUCCAUUUAACAUGUCAAAGUGUUAACAAAUCUUACUGAAUCUACGUGUAGGUUUCACCUAUGGUUUUUAGUGUGGUGAUUCAAUGAUCACUUGUUGAAUGUAUUUCAAUCAUGCGAUUUUAAACAGAGCUUAACACUGCUGCAGUAGGCUUGCUUUUAACCAUAGAAAAAUGAAAACUAUGAAACAAACAAACCUCUGGACAAUAAAACAGGACCCAAAGUUAAUAACACAUACACAGUUGAUUAAAAAGUGAAUUUAUAACAGGCUAAACAGAGCACGAAGGGUAGAAAAGAGGAUUUUCUUCUUUGUUUACUUUUAAUUGAAUCCCGGUUUUAACCCAUUUUCUCAGGACAAACACACACUUAAAUGGGCAACUAGGAACCAAUUCUGACUAUGAACAUUGACAAGUAAUUGCACAAAUGCAUAUACAUUAUAUACAGUCAAAAUAUAACAACUAGGGAUUUUAAUAUUUGUGUGCAUGUGUGUUUUGGUCUGUGUCAAGCACAUUCUUUUGUAAUAAUACCCUCUUCGGACAAAAUGUCUCUUGUCCAAAGGGGGUAUUAAAUGACUCGAAGUAGUCCAAAUAUAUAACAGAUCUCUCUGUAAAAUGCUAUACGUGUGUAUUCGUGCCUAUGGGAAGGGAAGCCAUCCACUAGUGUGAUGCAAAUGUUGGGAUUUGGUUCUUUUAAAAUGAGCAGUUGGUGUUGCUGAUUUUCCGAUUAGAUGCCCUUAAAUCACUAUUGACGAAGUAGACAAAACCAAAUGAGAUGUUUAAAACCGCUCCAGUCGACCCUCAACCUGUGGAAAACUGUUUCGCUGUGGAUGAGUAAAAAAAAAAAACAAUCACCACAUUUGUUGUUGUGGAAAGAUAUGGUUACGUUUGUCUGUUCCAGUCUGCAUGCGUGUUUCUGCGUACUUGCACGCUGACAUAGUGUGAUGCUUCAGUUAGCCAGGGGUGAACACUGCUGAUAGCGGCGUGUUGGUCUCAAGAACAGGAAGUGAGCAGGGUCCAUCUCAGCAGCGAUUGGGUGAGUCACGGACACCCCACGCUGUAGCAGUCAAAGGGUUGAGGCUAAUCAAUACACACGCUCAAACACACACCACAGGCUUAGUAGGCAGGUGUAAUCAGUCUGUGUUUGUGGCAGCUGGCGAUGACAAAUUGAUUCUCUCUUUUUCUCACUCUUUGUUCAUACAUGUUUUUUUACCUUUCCCACCCGCCAUAAGUGUCUGACUGGCUGACUUGGUCUUUGACAAUUUCUCUCCGUUCAUCUGUCUUUCUCUCUCCCACUGCUUAUAUAUAUAUAUAUAUUUUUUUUUUUUUCCCAAUGUCUGCUGUCACUUCCUUCUCCCUCUGCCAGCGCUCACUUUGUGCUUUUCAUCACACACGGUUCCCCAGAGGUUUUCCAUGCUGCCGUCAGUGUCUCACACUCCUGUUUUGUGUUAGUCUGUUUUUCCACAAUGCACCUGUUAGGUUCCUUAUCGGGUUGUUGACAUCCAGACUUUUUGGGGGUGUAGGAAUGAGGUUAAAUUAUAUAUUUUGCUCUGGUCAUAGUUUUUAAUAUCAGCUACAUAAUUAACAAUUAUACAUACACCUAUAUAUAUAUACAUAUAUAUAUAUACAUACAUAUACAUGUAUAUAUAUAUAUACAUACAUAUACAUGUAUAUAUAUGUGUGUGUGUUUCCACUGAUCAUCCUUCAGAUGUUUCUACAACUUGAUUGGAGUCCACCUGUGCUAAAUUCAGUUGACUGGACAUAGAUAUCGGUGCGACAACAGAAACCUUGACCAUCUUGUUGAGUCUCUACAGCCAGGGUACUGGGAACAUCUUGUCCACGUAAGACACGUCAGUUCUUUGACCGUGUCCUUGCUCUCCCAACAUGCUAAAACAAAGGUGGUCAUAGACAUAACGAACACUUUGUUCAAUCUCUACAGCUAUGACGCUGGAAACAUCUAAUCCAAGUGGGAGACAUCAGUUCUUAUGUCAGGGCCUUUGUGAUCUAACCACUUGCAACUAAUAAACUGGUUAUACAAAUGAAGCAUUUAAAAGGGUUACAUAUAAUUUUCCCAUUACAUGUUCUUCAGAGAGCAAGUUUGAAAAAACAGUUUUCACUUUGUUGUUGUGGGUGUGUAGAAUGUUGAGGAAAAUAAUGAAUUUGAUCGAUUUUGGAAUAAGGCUGUAACAUAACAAAAUGUGGAAAAGCGCAGUGAAUACUUUCCAGAUGCACUGUAGGUGGGUAUCGCAGGGUGUCAUGACAGCGUCCUUCCACGUGGUACACAGCUACUGCAGACUCAUUCUUGUUGGACCCUUUACCCAGACUCUGCCCUGCAGGUCUUUGUAGUGUUGCUUUUUGGCCCAGAAAUAUCUGCAGCAAGCAUUCCAGCCAUCUCUCCGAUACGAUUGGCUCCAAAUAAACACUUGGCAGACGUCAGGACACAAUAAGAGAACAUUGUUUUGGCCCGAGUCAUUGUGUCUUGUGUGCAUGGAAAGAAUAAUGACAUCCUGGCAACCACAUUUUAUCAAAUAAAUGCCUAGAUUGGUAUACUAACCUUGACCCGCUUGUGCGUCAUCAUUACCUAUCAGGUUACUCUCAGUUACUCUCUGUUGAUGUGUGUGUGUGUGUGUGUGUAUACUGUGAGUCUGUGUGUGUGUGCACUGUCCCUGGAGCUAAAAGUCAGCAGAAGAGACAUAUUUCAUUAAAGCAGAAUUCUCAUUUUAAGCUUAAUUGUUGAAAGGCUACUCGUUCGAUCUUUCUUUACUCAAGACCUAAAUACGAGCAUGAGUUAUUGCUGUACUUUAUUGUGAUUGUUAUAGUUUUCCUCAACUCUACUGACCGACACAAGCGAAGUCAAGUAAAUAAUAACUGGAAGUUUGUUUCUUUCCCUCAGUCUUUUCUGUGUGUCAUGGUUAUUAUUCACACUGUAGUUUAACGGAACAAUUCUUUCACAUUUUGCAUAAUUAUGAAAUCCUCUAUGAGUAAGCGAUGAAAUAACUGCUAUUUCAUGACUUAUUGUUAUUCUCAGGCUCUCGUGUUUAUGUGAACGGAUGACACAGUGACAACGUAAUCUUCAUCACAUCUUUUGCAUGUGUGUCUCACACACACAAGGAGUCUUUGUUAAGGCAAGUAGACAUCUGCUCCCGGGACAGUGGUACAAUUUUGCCAGAUUUAGUAGCACAUCGAGACGUCCCACUCACUUUCAUGACAACUGAUGGAUGUCAGAUAGAAUCUUUUCCCUAUUUGAAUGUUAUCUUUGCACAUUGUCAUUGAGUUAAACAAAGCGUAAUUCGCAUAGGAAAAAAGGAUGACCUCAUAGCAAAUAUUUCUGAUAUAAAGUUUGAUUUUUAAAUCAAUACUGUUGACUAUUUGUUUCAACUAAAGAAGAGUUGAGUAAUCAUUGUGACCAAAAAUAAGCAUUUUAAAGGUGAUGAAAACGGAUGUCAUCUAAAUAUUAAGAAGUUGUAACAUGAUUUUACAACUCCGGCCCUGUCCAAAUUGAUCCCGGGUUUAUUUGACAUGUUGAUGCUUAAAAAAACAUGUUUGUCGGUGUUUGCUAACACUAGAAAGCUCCUUGACUGCCUUUGGUUAUCCAAGAGGAAGCAAACACACACUCAGACAGUGUGAAUCUGGGUUAAGAGUCUUUGGGUUUGCCUUGUGUUGUGGGGGGGGGGUCCUUUUUCAUAAAGCCUGUCUUCACUGCACUCGCUGGUGGUCCAUUUAUUCAGUGUCCGUACUGUUUCAUGUCUCUCAUCACCGUUUUCCUAACGUUGCCUCCCGUCCUCUGUCGCUCAGCCACGUCCCGCUCUCUCUCUGUGUCGCUUUCUUGAGUGACAUGUCCAAUGAUGUUUGCCUCUCAGUACCCCGACCUUCAAAUCUCUGGAAAGCACACACAAAAAUAAACACUCCUACACGGCGCACAGCGAGACUGCUAAUGGCUUCUACCAUUGGAGCGUCUGUUGACAGGGGGAUUACAGCUAGGGAGCACCAAAAAGAGGAAACUCAGAGACAAAGGGGGCUAGCUGUAAGCUAGCGAAAGGCCAAGUGUGGCUACAUAAUGGCGAAGGUGUUGCUAGCAGGCCGUGUUUGUGUACCUUGCAUAGUAAAAGUCUGCCUGCAGAAAAAUCUACAUUAUGUGUGGAGGAAAGGGUGUAUUGGUUUGUACAUAUUAAAACAAAGAAAAGACUGAAAGCAAAGCAGAUCUUAGCAUAGCAGUGGAUAUCACCACAUUCACACAACUGGGAAACAGAAUUCCUGCUGUCUGAAAGACGGCGUCAUGGUCUUCUGUUGAAAACUGGUGAUUGUGGUGGAAGAUUUUGCACAGACAAUCGUUAAGUAAGAAACAAAGGCUCUGAGUCAAGUAUGUCUUUUCUCCGUUUAUUUCCUUGCAAGGGAAAGAGGGUCACAACAGCUACGUGGUCAGUAGACUGUCAAGAACCUCCUUUCUGCCCCAACACAUCGAGGCAGUUCUUAUACCUAAGUUUAGAUAUCGGUGCGACAACAGAAACCUUGACCAUCUUGUUGAGUCUCUACAGCCAGGGUACUGGGAACAUCUUAUCCACGUAAGACACGUCAGUUCUUUGACCGUGUCCUUGCUCUCCCAACAUGCUAAAACAAAGGUGGUCAUAGACAUAACGAACACUUGUUCAACAUAUUAGUAUAUUAUUGUGAGGGACAAAGGUGCUUAGUGACAACACUUUAAGGCACUGCAGACAUUAGUGUGUUUUUGCUUCAAACUUAAAUAUUAAAAACAAACUUUUUUCUAUCACCUAGUCUUUUGUGAAUGACUUCUCUUGAUCCCGCUCUCCCCCUCCAUGCUUUAUCCCUCCCUACCAUCCCACUCUCUGUCCCCAUCCCCUCUCCCAUUUUUUCUUGGUACUCUCCCUCUAAUGACAGUAUUAUCCUCACUCAGACAUCAGAGUCUCUCUCCCUCAGAGCUGCAUAAAAGAGAAAGGGGGGGAAGCAUGCAGGAGAAGGCGAAUUAGGCCAACGAGAGGUGUUGAUCUGAGCUCUUCAGGGACUGCAAAGGGGCUAAAGGAGCAAUUCCUCUGACUGCUGUGAUGUUUAACUCUCCUCAGAUUAGUCGUGAUACCUUUAAUCACAGCUGAACCGAAAAUGGAAGUCUAUACUGAUGGUGAAAUUGAAAAACGACUGUCUCCAAAAAAAAUACAUAAACAUGCAAUGUGUCUUAUUUGUCGUUCAUGAAGUCGGAUGUGAUGUAGAAGUUGACACAUGGGUAUAUACUUUUUUCAUUUCGUUUCAUUCAAUUUCAUACACUAUUUUAAUAUUUUUCUUUUUUGAUAUUUUUUACAUUUGAUAAUGCAUUAUUUGGAUGUUAGCGAUAAAGCUGCUGGGCAAAGACCAGCUAAACAUAACUGAUCAUUCUCUUGGCUUGAAUGAAGGAGUGUGAGGGCGAGAAAAAGAGCGAGAAAAUCAGACCGCAAACUCAAUAAGAAAAACAAUUCAGUGAGCCCUGCUGUUAUACAAAUUUGAAUAAGCUCCUUUCAAGCAAGACUUCCCCAUGAUAAGAGGUGAGGGGAGGGACAGAAAUAGAAAAAACAAACGACAAAAAAUCCCAUCAUUUAUACCAGCAUGUAUAAAAUAAAACUCACUCAGCCACUGUGAGAAGAAAAAAGUUUUGUCUGCAUUUCAAAGCCGUAACUUCAAAAACCGAAGCAUAAGAGCAAUGGGAAGAAAACAAGAGAAGUAAUAAAAAAGAGAGCAGGGAUAAUCCUCGAUAGCAUGUGGUCAACCACACACAGCACUCAUUAAAAGAAGGCUUUCUGUGGGUUUUACACUGGAAAAAAACCAAAAAGGUGAAUCCAAAUGGACUAGUAUGGCAACGUCUGGAUUCAUGAAAUGCAUACUGCAGUGACACUGUUGUAAAAGCAGGAUGACUUUGUCUUUAAACAUCUGAACCUCACCAGUCCUGGAAGGAGUGUUCAGAUACAGAACACAUAGUACUAUUCCAUAAAUAAUCUCUAAAUGCAUGUGUUCGUGUGAGCGAAUAUAAAUGACAUGUGAAAAAUCAUGACAUGAAAAGAUUUGUUUUUUACAAAUAGCAAAGCAUUUAUUUGCAAGGCAAUUUAACAAAUUGGCAAAGGUGUAACAACUUCAUGAGGACCAGGGAUCUAAAUGCAACACUUUGUUGUCUUUGUCCGUUUACUUGCAAUGCUUUUGAAACUUCAUGGUCCUUUAUUGUUUCCACUGUGUUAAACGGGUCUUCAUGUUUCUGUGAAGCAGCGCGGCUUCAGCCUGCUAACAGUCAGCUAAACCGAGACAGCUGAGCUAAACUAAUGAAGCGCACAUUCAAACUCGCCGAAGCGUAAAAUAGUCGUCGCGGUCCGCAGUCGGUGCACAAGAACCAGCGCUGCGCCGAUGCGAGCGUUCUGGGUUCGUGGAUGACGUCACCAUGACACGUUAAUAACCGCCGUACUUUGCCUGUCUGUUGCCUGUCAGCUGCGUGCGAAUUUAGGGGGGAAAACAAUUGUGACUUCGUCAACCACCAACAUUUCACAAGUUAGAAUGGAUUUAGGUCAUAGUUUUUAUUUUUUAAGAUAGUUUUCGUCUCGUCUUAGUCAUGGAAAAAAAGGUCGUUAACGAAAAAAAUUUCAUAGUUUUCGUCAACGAAAUUAACACUGCCCGGAUAUGAUUUACACUUCCAAAUAAAGUAGAAAAAUGAAUAUACUUUAAAGACGACACAUCUAGGUUACCUGUUGCCUCACAUGCAGCUACACACGACUGGCGGAGUCGCAGAUGGCAGAGAAACCACAUGACUCAAAAUCAGCUCCCAUUUAUUAUUUAUUUAGGAUCUCUAGACCUUGAGCCCGAUGGUAUCACAUGUUUAAGACCUGAGAGUCAAUAGAUACAAAUUCGAAUUGUAAGUAUGUUUCUCUAAGACAGACGACCUCUGCAAAUAACUAAGUGUGCUCAAGUUCUACUCGUACUGUAGGGAAGGGCUCACGUUUGCAAUACAACGCAAGGUUUACAUCUUUGCAACUGCAAUCUCAAUUCAUUUUUGAAAGUGGAAAAUAUGGCUUGAAUCCAUGUUAUCUGAGAUAGAAGACUCCUUCAUUUGAAUACUUUACACCGUAAACAUUGCUGUUUAACUGAAGCAAAGUAAGCUUGCCCAAAUUGGACUAGACUUUGCUUCAUAUCACCUAGACACUGCGCUAAACCCCAAACAAAUGUGCCUUUUAAAGUUAAGUUUGUCCCCACGCAAGCCUGGAAGAGGCAAGGAAUAUGCCGCCAACAGCGUUGUGUUAGAUGAGUAUUUCUGUUUCGAUGCUUCGUUAAAUGAGAACACACCGCAGUAUGAGGUUUUGCUGCAACCCAUCACCUGCAGCACAGAGGAGGAGAGAAGUGGUAGAAUAAUCCUCCCGAGGGGGCACAUAGCUGAGCGGCAACAACAGAUGUGAAAAACAAAACAAAAAAAUACACACACACAUAAAUAAUGAUUAGGUGUGCAAGUGAAAAAUGCCCCACAGUUUCCUUGAGCUCACGUUGACAUUUUCCGCUAUCGUUUAGGAACCAUCCCAUUAUUUUUCUCUACUUACCUUUACAGGCUUUUGACGGUCCUACCUUUUACUCUUUAGUUUUAGACUAAACUUUCACCACAUAUCUUGUGAAAAAUGUUCCUCAUUAGCUGCUGAACUGAAAGUGCUGACUGUGCAUCCAAUCCAUCCCUAAAUACACGGAGCUUCUCAUAUAUAUGAACGGAAGCAGAGUAGUUCAAAAAUAGUGUGAGUUUUUGAUGAAUAGCACCGGAAAUGCACCGAGACGGUUAGCAUUGACUACAGUUUGAUGGAAAACGACGACUCGCUCAACGCAGGUGAGUGCAUUUGAUUGCUGUUAAGUGCUUCAAAACAGUCAUUGAAUGCACGCUGAAGCUAUCCUCGCAUAUGUCAACAGCCCCAUAUCUUUACAGUGCGGAGGAUUGCUGGACUGCAGUAGAGGGAGAACGCCGUCUGAGAAUCAUCUUUAAUAAGGGCAUGCUUUUCCCGGUGAAAUUAAUUCUUUGAUAUCAAGAGAUGAUUUAAAAUGGUUUCCAGCUACUUCAAACAAUGUUGCGCUAAGAACAACAGAAUACAUGAAGGGAGCCUUAGAUAUGCAUAACCACAUGUGAUUUAGUCGAUGACAGAGUCUGUGUGUGUAACAGUGAGAGGAGUGGUGAAGACCGAAGGUCCCACUCCGCUCCGUGGUAAAGAAAUAGAAAAGGUUCUUUUAACAAGGCUGAUGUCACGGUGAGGGACUCAACGGGAAUCCUAUGGAGGAACACUCUAAUCCAUUCUCUUCCUGUUCACCUGUCCCACACAUCCCUCCUCCUUUUUGAGUCCCCUAACCCUUCUCUCCUAACUGAUCACCUCAACAGGGCCCCAGACUAACUUUUAUUUAGCCCCAGACUAAUUUUUAUUUAACAAUGGCCACACUAGUGCGCUUAACCCUUCAUUUAGGUGUGCCCAACAAUUUGUCUUAUCUAUUAUAUUAAAAAUAUUGAAAAAUCACAGACACAGAUGUUACAGCUGGUAUGAGACUCACCCUAAAAAUGCUGUAUCUGUCACGGUGUGGUUCACUUCAUGUUGUAGUUUUCUGCCACUUGUGUCCCCGGGUAACUUCACUUCCUGCCUUGUCCUGUCAUCCCCGUGAUCGUCUAAUAGUUUCCACCUGUGUCCAAUCACCUGCACCUCCCUUGUGUAUUUAAGCCGUGUGUCUCUUGUGUCACUGGUCUAUUGUCGUGGAUGUUCAUAGUUUCCUGCCUGCUGGGUUUCCCCUGGUUCCUGUGUGGUUUUGCCCCUUAGCCUUUUGAUUUUGCCUUUUGACUAAUAAAGCCUUUUGUUUUCCGAGAAGUCUGCGUCUGAGUCCUGCCUCCCCCACGCAUCCUUGACAGUAUCAGCUAGAAUGUGAGUCCAUCAAUGAUCUGAUAUUGUGACAUUAUUCAUCAGCUCAGUUAAGCUACAGAGAAACAAGAACACAAUGUGUGCAUAAACCAAUCAGUACUGAGUGUACAAUGUAAACUAUACUACACAACUGUAGUUAAAAUCCUUUUAUUUUUUAUUUUUUUUAAUACCGUUUUACUUAGUACUGACAGACAUGUGCCUUGAUCUAUCCGCAUCCUUAUUAUGACUGUUAUCCUGGGUUGGAUCAUUAUGGUAGCAGACCUUUGUGAAAUGAUCAUUAACUGCAAAGCAACAAUAUAAGUGCCACACAGUGAAAUGGGUGCUUUGGUGAUUGAGGCUGCAGUGAUAACUGAUUGAGAAAGAGGUUCAAUUCAUCACUUAAAGAGAGCUGCAGUUAAUGCACAUGACAGGCAACUGAGUCCCCAGUUUGAAAGGUACAUGCAUUUUACGAGUGAAUAUUGACAUGCUGUCAGAGACGUGCAAUACAGAGGGGAACAAAGAGCCUUGUAGUCUUUCAAGUAUAUUGUCGCUGACCAAGCUCGGUCAUUUGACACAUUGGUGUGAAAAGCUGUCAAAAGUGAUACAGGGCUAGUACAUGAAUGGAUUUGAUCUCAGGCAGUGAAAGUGAAUUUUUUUUGCCCACUCCUAUCCAAACACACGUCACUUUUUAUCGGUCACCAUAUUAAUCUGAUAGCUACUCAAAUCCACAAACCGUAAGUGGGAUUUAAUACAACCGGCAUGGCCAGCUACUACCCCAAAGUCAGUAAGCCACUUAAGGAUGACCAGCUAUUCUUGUGUGGCAAGCUGCUCCAUCUGCUUUUAGUGUGAUUUCUUUAACUUUUUAACAUGAAAUAUUCAUUUUUAACAUCUCUAGGGAUGACAAAACAAGGCAUUGUCGAGAAAAUAAGCUGCAGGUUACUGGUGAUGGCGAACAUCGACAUUUAUUGCAGAGUUUGUAAUAAAAACAAUGUAAUUAUAAUUACAUUGUUUUUAUUACAAACUCCGCUAAUUAGCGCAUUGGAUGAAAUAAAAUCAUAUCUGUAGAAGUCUUAACGCUUUGGAUUAGGGCUGGUAUGCUAUGAGAACUCCUGAGACUACAUCAGCGGCUAGAAGCUCCUUCUCUUUUUGAGCCAGGAAAACUAUCUCCAGUUUAAUUGGCCCGGCCUGCAGUGUGUGAGGUCACACUCUACAUGCUGAGACCAAUGUAGAGCGGCUCUGAUGUCAAUUUUAAUAUGUCUAUUGAGGGGCUACAUGGUCCCUUUAUGUGCUGAAAGGCGACCACCAGGCUCAUGAAAACUUGUAGAUUAACUGACGUUAAUGAUUAUCACCCUAUCAACCAGGCUGCAUUUCUUCAAAGGUUAAUGCUUCUGGGAUUGGCAAAAGUGUUUUCAACAAUGUGCGGACAUCACAAACGUGACGGAUGAGAGAACAGAGACAGUAGAGCGAGACAUGAUUUUGCUUUCACCUUCCUCUGCCUCUUCUGAUAGCGUUAACUAUGUGUUGGCUUUAACCUGCCAUCUUCUGCGAAGUUUGUGUAGGCGACUCUCACGCUUCGUACAGUUGUUUAAUAGUUGGCCACUGUCGGCUCCAUUCAGCGGCGGCAGAAGAGAGCAACAAAAAACCUGUUGGUAUGCAGACACCCCGCACCACGGGAACAGACGGAGGAGAGAUUUAAGAUUAUGCACCAGAUGACUGAUAUCUGCUCAUUUGUGUUCACAUCGCUUUGUAGAGCACACACGCUGAAUUCUCAGUUUGACGUGGUCAAUACAUAUUCAGAUUUUGAGAACACAUUCGAUUACAUGUUGGAUUUAUGAAAUCCACAUUGGAUUCAGACGUUUUCUUUUUGUCAUGCAGGUCAAUAGUCUGCUAUGGGGAUUUUUAUAGCUCUGUUAGAUGUACAAGAAAGUCACACUGUACAUGAGAAUGUGUUUUGUGUGUGUGAAGUGUGUGAUCCCUGCUAUCGCCUCUCCUGAAAGAACCGUGCCUCUUCCUCAACUCCAGCAGGAAUAGCUUCGAAACGUCCAUCACCUGAAAAGACUACUGAAUAUGGAGAUUUGUAGAACAUUUAUUUGUUAUUUACUGGAUUCCCAUCAGCUGGCCGCUAAUAUUUCUGGGAUCCACAGAGAGACAAAAAAGUAGUUAACACCAAACAUUUAGACCAUGACGUAAAACGUACUGUAGUUAAAUAUAGUACAAAGAGCAUGAAAAGAAUAAUAACCAAUAAUCUAGUCGUAUACCUUGUGCGGUUGAGGACUAGGAUGUAUAUAGUCCAGUACUCCUGCAAUUUGCGAAGAAUCGAAUGUGUACAAAAGCAAUGGCAAACGUCAAGUGGUUAAUGUCCUGAGGUGCUGAAAAUAACUAUACAGUUGAGGAGGUUUGUUAUAGGGGUUGGAAGUAUCAUGCAUCCUAGGCUAGCAUUCAUUGUGUAUGCUUAUUACCUGUAUAUUGUAACUGAUUAAAAAUGACCUUUCUGAAAAACACGAGAAGAGAGAUUGAUUUCUAGUGAGAACCAUGACAGGAAAAUAUGCUGUAUUUGUUCUUAUUGAACACUGAAGUGCUAAUCUGGCAACACGGUUUUCAACCAGUUGUACAGUAGUUUUGUCAGGGUUUUUUGGACUGAAUUACCCUGAAGGACCAUGUGGGGUCCUCAGUGAUCCAGUUUUAUGUAUGGCACCUGUCAUGAGUCUGUGUGGUCUUGAUUGUUCUCAUUGCGUUCACCUGUGCCUCGUUCUCUAGCCUUUAAAAAGCCAACUGUGUUUCUUUGUUACCUUUUGUUUUUUAAGAUCUUCUGUUGCCUGUUCUUUGGGACACCCUUAGUUUUCUGUUAAAUGCUCUGACUUUGUUUUUAGUUGUCUUGGAAUAUUUUGAGUUUUGUCAACGAUAUGGAACCUCCUACUUUUUGCAAGUAAAGAAACCUUUUUUUUUUUUUUUGACUCAACAUACGACUUGUCCGUGUCUGUCUCUGCACCUGAGUCACCACCACUUGCAGCACAGUGGUAGGCAAUCGGCCUGCUACACCGAGACCCAGGUUCGGAUCUCGACGACCAUGAUAGCAAGACUCUGCCAUGGAACCAGACUCAGCAGAGACAAAGUCUUCCCCAUCAUCUCGGCAACCCCGGACACCAACUGCGGCGGAUCAACUCUACGCGGCAGUGGCCAGUCACGACGCCACUGUGUCUCGCCAUGAUGCUCGCCUAACCCUCCAUGAGGCUGCCUUCCCUCGCCAAGAUCAAGUCCUGCAGGGCUUACAACAGACUUUGACCGAUGUACUAGCUCGUUUGCCACCACCGGCCUCCACCGGCCUGUAACCCUCUGGAGUUACAGCACCAUCACGCGAUUCUCUUCCACCUGGGACCCUUGCAGAACCACGGCUACCCGCUCCCGAGAGGUAUGACGGCAACCCCAGGGACUGCCGGGCCUUCCUUACCCAAUGCUCUCUCACCUUUGAACUUCAAGCCUCCUCGUUUCGCACUGAUCGCAUAGCCUACGUCAUAACUCUUCUGACCGGAAAGGCCCGGGCAACAGCUGUUUGGGAUCAGCAGGGCCAUUCCUGUGAUGACUUUAGCACCUUCACGGGCGAGAUGACCAUCCCUUGGGAGGUAGUGCUGCGUCAAGGCAUUGCUAGUGUUGCUGAGUAUGCUGUGCUCUUCCGCACCCUGGCAGCAGAGUGUAAGUGGAACGAGGAGGCCCUGAUGGCAGCGUUCCGGAAGCGGCUCGCUGGCAUUAUCAAAGAUGAACUGGCAGCUAGGGAUCCUGUUGGGGAUCUGGAGUCCCUAAUUGACCAGACUAUUCGACUCGACAACAGUCUGCGAGAGAGGCGUCGUGAACGAGAGCCGUACAGCGGUUCCAGUUCCGGAGCCGCCGCUUCAACCUUCAGUUCGCCACAGUGGCCUUGUAGGCCUCACUGUGACCCACCUUCUUCGGAGGAGCCGAUGCAGCUUGGUGGAACUCUCCUUUCCCAGGCCGAGCGGGACCGAAGGAGGAGGGAGAGAAGCUGCUUCUACUGUGGAGCUCCUAACCAUUUCCGCGCCUCAUGUCCUGUGCU
This is a long non-coding RNA of Gasterosteus aculeatus aculeatus (three-spined stickleback), 14940 nucleotides long. The record is from Ensembl. NCBI's taxonomy places the organism in Eukaryota, Metazoa, Chordata, Actinopteri, Perciformes, Gasterosteidae.